RNAcentral lists this ribosomal RNA (496 nucleotides) under uncultured bacterium. Its description in RNAcentral is "partial 16S ribosomal RNA". It matches the Rfam family "Bacterial small subunit ribosomal RNA", at positions 28 to 506 of the family's 1533-position model. The record is from RNAcentral.
GAUGAACGCUGGCGGCGUGCCUAAUACAUGCAAGUCGAGCGAACAGACGAGGAGCUUGCUCCUCUGACGUUAGCGGCGGACGGGUGAGUAACACGUGGAUAACCUACCUAUAAGACUGGGAUAACUUCGGGAAACCGGAGCUAAUACCGGAUAAUAUAUUGAACCGCAUGGUUCAAUAGUGAAAGACGGUUUUGCUGUCACUUAUAGAUGGAUCCGCGCCGCAUUAGCUAGUUGGUAAGGUAACGGCUUACCAAGGCAACGAUGCGUAGCCGACCUGAGAGGGGGAUCGGCAACACGGAAACUGAGACACGGUCCAGACCCCUACGGGAGGAAGCAGUGGGGAAUCUUCCGCAAGGGGCAAAGGCCUGACGGAGCAACGCGGCGGGGGUGAUGAAGGUCUUCGGAUCGUAAAACUCUGUAAUUAGGGAAGAACAAAUGUGUAAGUAACUAUGCACGUCUUAACGGUACCAAAUCAGAAAGCCACGGCUAAUUACUU